AGAGUUUGAUCAUGGCUCAGGAUGAACGCUGGCGGCGUGCUUAAGACAUGCAAGUCGAACGCAGCCGCUCCGCAAGGGGUGGCUGAGUGGCGAAUGGGUGCGUAACACGUAGGUGACCUGCCCGGAAGUGGGGAAUAACAGUCCGAAAGGACUGCUAAUACCGCAUGCGGUGCGCGGGGUUAGAGACCCGCGUUCCAAAGGCGCGAGCAAUCGUGCCGCUUUCGGAGGGGCCUGCGGCCCAUCAGCUGGUUGGCAGGGUAACGGCCUACCAAGGCGACGACGGGUAGGGGACCUGAGAGGGUGACCCCCCACACUGGCACUGACACACGGGCCAGACUCCUACGGGAGGCAGCAGUCGGGAAUAUUGCCCAAUGGACGAAAGUCUGAGGCAGCAACGCCGCGUGCGCGAUGAAGGCCUUCGGGUCGUAAAGCGCUUUUCGGGUGGAUGAGAGCGGACAGUACACCCGGAAUCAGGUACGGCUAACUACGUGCCAGCAGCCGCGGUAAAACGUAGGUACCGAGCGUUAUCCGGAUUUACUGGGCGUAAAGCGCGUUCAGGCGGUCGGGCAAGUCGGGCAUGAAAUCUCUCGGCUCAACCGGGAGAGGUUGUCCGAUACUGCCGGACUGGAGGGCAGUAGAGGGUGGUGGAAUUCCGGGUGUAGUGGUGAAAUGCGUAGAGAUCCGGAGGAACACCAGUGGCGAAAGCGGCCACCUGGACUGCACCUGACGCUGAAACGCGAAAGCUAGGGGAGCGAACGGGAUUAGAAACCCCGGUAGUCCUAGCUAUAAACGAUGUUGACUAGGUGUUGGCGGUCUAAACCCCGUCAGUGCCGCAGCAAACGCAUUAAGUCAACCGCCUGGGGACUACGGCCGCAAGGUUAAAACUUAAAGGAAUUGACGG
Molecule: ribosomal RNA, 901 nt
Filed under: uncultured bacterium
Lineage: Bacteria
Description: bacterial SSU rRNA
Rfam family: Bacterial small subunit ribosomal RNA
Source: RNAcentral